GUAAGAGGGUCUUGUCUUUACGUAUGAGGUUCAUGUGCUAUUCUUUAUCCCAGUGCUUGUCUAUUUUGCCUGUUUGCUGUAAACUCAUCUUGGAGGUAAUGAAUGUUUAUGAUAUAUAGUGUUUUAAUUGUCUCUUUAUUAAAGACAGUAUCUGAUGGAGAAUUAUUGAUAUAGGACAAGAUGCACGGGGGUCAAAGAAAAAAAUAUUUUUCUAGGAUUUGAUAGUUGUAAAAUAGAAGAUUUUAGAUAAGAUAAAAGAAGGAAGAAAAACAACCAGGCUCGAUCUGGCUUAAAAAUUAACUUCGAGGGAUCCAUGUUUUACACUACACCUCUCACACAUAGACAAUGAAAUCAUACGAUUGAAAAAGGAGAAGUAACCACCUACAAUUCAUAUAUUUUAUGGCUUAAAAAUUAACUUUGAGAGAUCAAUGUUUUACACUACACAUCUCACACAUAGACAAUGAUAUCAUACCAUUGAAAAAGGAGAAGUAACCGCCCACAAUUCAUAUAUAUUAUGGGAAAAAGAAUUGUUCAUUAUUCAUUGAUUGACGUUCUAAUUUUAAUGUCUUUUUGCUUUCUAAGGACCCCAAGUACAAGAAUAAAAAAGAAAAAUUACAGAAAUAAGGAAGAAUAAAAUAAAAA
RNAcentral lists this long non-coding RNA (642 nucleotides) under Musa acuminata (dwarf banana). Its description in RNAcentral is "long non-coding RNA (MACU_LNC005662)". Lineage: Eukaryota; Viridiplantae; Streptophyta; Magnoliopsida; Zingiberales; Musaceae. The record is from RNAcentral.